UAAUUGUACGGUUCACUAAUUUAUUUUUAAAGUAUCCCUGUUUGGGGCAGAUAACUCCUUAUUUCUAUAUAUUCUAUGUUGAGAGUUUUCUCUACACUUUUAAAAACUACACAGUUGAAGACUACUGAACAAGGGGACACUCUUUUGAUAAUGUGAUAAACACAUUCAUUCUUAAUCCUCACAUAAAGUCAAAUAAUUCAUUUGCCUGUACAAAAGAUAUAACAGGCAGUCUGUACAUAUUAUUUGUGGCAAAGUAAUCAGUAUUAAUCAGUGUAUCUGCUACACAAUGUGUUAUAUUACUCGGUAAUACCUCUGACCUAAAAAAUGAGUUAAGCUGAUUAUGGGACAUAGGUUCAUUUGCCUAAUUCAUUCAACAAAUAUUAAUUCAGUGCCUGCAGUAGGCACUGAAUUGAAAGCAAAUACAUGAGAGCAAACAGAAUAACGUAGAGCAAAACAAUAUCCAGCUCUCUUAGGGACUUCUGUCCACAUUACCCCAACCCAAUGGUAGGUUUUAAAUGCUGACAUUUUGCAGUUAAUCAGGGGCUUCUAAAUGCUAAUAAUUCUUCUUUAGAAGUGAUUACAGAAGAAGGGGUGAAAAAAAAUAGCAAUUCCUGCAGAGAAGUCCCAGUAUUACAUAUUUUAAAAUUCAACUUAAUGAGAUCAACUCUAAAGCUAUGCUUGAGAAACACACUGAUAUUUUUAGAAUUCUCUCAAUAUAGAACUCUAUGCUUAAAAUUAUCCCAUCUGGGUGGGUAACACAUUUGAUGAUGCUUUUAUAAUCAAAAGAAACAGGAAAUUAAAUAAUAUCGAUAUCUUUUAGGGUACCAGCAUGCAGUUUACAGCAUCGGUGUGUUAAUGAGCUGCAGACCACAUAAAUUUCAAUAGGAUAAUGAUGGUUCCCAAAUAUAUCCUUAGGUGAGUCAUUAGAUAGUAUCUUUAAUAGCUUUUUAAGGGUCAUCUUCAAGUUAUAAAUAAUAUAAAUACGUAUACAAUAAAACAUGAUCCCAGUUUUCACUUGCAAAAAGGGAUAGUGUUAGCUGUAAUAUUAGCUCCACUUAAAUGAGAUGUCUAAAAUCAAUGACAAGUAACAGUAAAAUACCUACAUGGCUAAUUAAAAUGGAACAAUUAUAAACAGGACGGACAAAACUAAAACACUAAAAGCAUAACUAAAACUAGCACACAACCUCAAAGGAAAUGGUAUUGUCAUAUGUUCAUGAAAAACAGAAAACUGUUGUGUAGAAUACAGAAACCCUGUUGCUAUUUUAAUUAUUUGUUUUUUUAAAAAGUUUUCCAAAUUUCAACAAGAGUGAUGAGUCAGAUCUUCAGUACAAAGCAAAGCGGUAUUUAAUUGAAAAGAUUACUGAGCUUGACAACUUCAGUCUUUUCAGCCACACACGGCAAAAGUGUCAUUUUCAAAUAUGAAAAAUAACCAACAUAAAUGAUAAAAAUAUUUUUAAGUUGUUAUAUGCACUAAUGUGAGUUGAGAUUUGAGAUCUCAUUUGUAAAUCCAUUUUAAAUCUCGGUCCUUAUAGAUUUAAUCCAAUUUUUCAAAAAAAAAUCUUAACACGCCUGCUACAGAGAUCCUAAUUGUUAAAGAUCUUUGACCCACAGCAUAUAUAUUCCUUCAACAUGGCAGGCCCUCUUGGCCUUGGCUCAUUUCCACUUGAGAUUGGUUUUGUUCAGUAUUAUAUACAUACAUACACGCAGCAUAAUACAGGACAUAUUAUAAUGCAGUCAAAAUUUAUGUUUUAUUCACAUACUAUCUCCUACUGGUACUUGUUAGCUCAAAACAUCUUCCAUAGGGAGAUAUACAUAAGAGAUAUUAGCUCAGGCCAAUUAGCAAGGCUGAAGACGUAAAAGAAACCCACUCUAAUGUCAAAUUAAUGCUGAAAAAUUAUUAUGGUUUAAGUUUCCUGGAAACUUUCACGUUGUUAGAAUGUGAUCACCAUGUGAACUAGAUACAUGUUCCUUCCAGACAAUGAAAGCUGGAAGUAUCAUCUCAGCCUUCCAUUGAUGGACAUUAUCAAUAUCCCUUACCAGGAGGCAAGCCAUCCACUCCUUUGAAGUAAAAUCUCCAAGUAGAACUCUCUUUUAGUCUUUAACAAGAGUCCUUAAUGUCACUCUGUAACCCCAAUAAUUCCUGGUCUCCAAUCUACCUUUUCCUGGACAAUUUUAAUCUGUAGCAAUAUUUAUUUAUUUAUUUAUGAGAUGGGGUCUUACACUAUUGCCCAGACUGGAGUGCAAUGGUGUGAUCAUGACUCACUGCAGCCUCAACCUUCCCGGCUCCAGUGAUCCUCACACUACAGCCUCCCAAGUAUCUGAAACUACAGGUGUGUGCCACCAUGCCUGGCUCAUUUUUUUUUUGUUCGUUUUUCUGUAGAGACAGAGUUUUGCCAUGUUGUCCCGGCUGGUCUCUAACUCCUGGGCUCAAGAACAUUUGACUGCCUUGGUCUCCCCCAAAGCGCUGGGAUUACAGGUGAGCCACCGCGCCCGGCCUGAUUUGUAGUAAUUUAAAUCCAAGUAAACCUCAACAGUAGCAGUAUCUUGGGGCAUUUAAAUUUUACUUUAACCAACUGAUAAAACCAAACUUGAAUAUGACAAUUUCAUAGGGCAUAAGCAAAUUCCAUGGACUCCUUACAUUUAUGGUCCUAGAUUAAUAAUAUUUUGGUGUUUGAACAGAGUAUUUGUAAUCUAUGUAAGUAAAGGACAUGAGGGGAAACACACUUUACUUUCUAAAAUUAUUCCUCUCCAUCACCCUCUUUCUCUAAGCCUUCUUUAAUUAUGGAUUGAAAUUUAGUUAGGUCUAUCUGGUUCAUUCAGAUACCUGUAAGAGAGGUCAUUUAUAGCAUAACAUCACACCAGGUGAUUUAAGCUCCUCUCCUACACAGUUUCAAAUACAGAAAAGCAAUGACCAUUCUUAGAAAAGAUCUUCACUAGUCAUCCACAGUCAGAGGGACAUUUAGAAGCAAUUGCAAAAACUGUGGAGACAACGUACAGUUUUUCUCAGCACAAUUUACAUAGAUGUCUGGCUAGCUCUUCCUUGUAAAAGUCCAGUGUCUUCAUUUGAUGUGCUAAGUUAAACUGUAAACUCCUGAAUAAUUUGAACUCUUAUUUAGGAAAAAAAUGUUUUUUCACCUAUAUACUAUAAAAAAUGGUGACGUUUAUCACAAGGGUCAUGCCGUGGGCUCCCAUAAAAGACAUUGUAGAGCACGAUAAAGAACGUUUUCUCCCAGAAGAACAUUUAUUUCUAAAACCCAGUUCCCCAUGUUAAACAUCACCUUUGGUUUAUCCUUCAGACUCACCGUACCCAUGAUGUUUAAAAUUGCAACCCACACCUGCACUCCCAAUUCCCUUUCUCUGUUCUCCUUUUUCAUUUUUUCAUAGCAUUUGUACUUUUCUAACCUAAUAUACAAAUAUGUUUUUUAUCAUUCUUUGCUAGAAUGUAAGCUCCAGAGGGAAGGGAUCUUUGUCUCUUUUGUUCAUUGAUGCAUCCCAAGCAUCAAGGACAGGACGUGAUAGAAAAUCAAUUUUUGUUGAAUAAAUGAAUGAAUCUAGGUUGAGUUCAGUAAAAAAAUAUCUCUGGAGUAAGUUAGUUUCCAAUUUUAUUUCUACAAUUAACAAAUACCUUCUGAGCUUCAAUUAUGGUGGAGAUAGAUUGAUCAUACCCUUACAAAUAUAUAAUAUCAGAUGGUGAUUAAGUGCUACAAAGCCGAACCAGCAGUACAAGAGUUUGGAGAGCCAGACAUUUUAGGUGAGGUAGUCACCUCUCUGAAAUGAUGGCAAUUGUUUCAAGACUUAAAUAAAGUUCUGUGCCAUGCAGAUUUGCGAAGAGUGGGAAAGUGAGCAUUGAGCAUACUGGAAAUACCAAACGCAGACGCCCUGGGAUGAGGGUCCGCUUGGCGAGCCCAGCAAGAGCAAUAAGGCCUGAGUGGUGGAAGUGGGGUAUGCAAGAACGUAUCAUUCUUGUUGCUUUUACCUGCUGCUUAAUAACACGCAUGUACUGUCUAGCAGGAAAUAAAGAGAUUACGUUUCACCUAGAAUACUCAUUCUCUGAGCCUAAGUGGCUCUUCUAUUCCAGCCCCCAAAUAUCUGUAUCAGCACAUCAUAUAAGAUUACAAAGCACAGAGUAAUGACAUUGUUAGAAACUCUUCACAGUAGCCCCAGGAGUCACGAAACUGACUUAACUAAGACCCACUGUCUAGUAAGGUGUAAAACCCAGCAGGAACGCAAUACUAGGAAGGUGCAAAGCCAGGAGGCUCAAUAAACGUUAAACAGUGUCUGGGGGAAAGAGCAACGAUCCAGAGCACUGUUUGUGAACUCAACCACUUUUAUUCAGCUCUGACAAGGCGCCAUGGGCUAACUUGCUGGAGAGCCACAUGGAGAGACUGUAUGGAAAAACCACAGGGAGAGGGAGAAGCCUUGAGAUCACAUGGAAGAGAACUGAGGAAUUGAGCUGACAAUGAGAAUUGAGGUCCCAGCCUAUGGUCCCAGUUGUGUGUUCCAGCCAGCAUCCAGUUGUUUGAACUGCCUCUAUACUAGUAAACAAGUAAUUAAUUAAUACAAGUAAAUGAAAACAAGUAAUAAAGUAAUUAAUACAAGUAUUAAGUGAGUGAAAAAAAACAUUUACCCACAGAAUUGUGAGCAAAUAAAGUGGUGUUGUUUUAAGCCUCUGA
This is a long non-coding RNA of Homo sapiens (human), 4673 nucleotides long. RefSeq lists it as uncharacterized. The record is from RefSeq and is a predicted model, not a curated record. Lineage: Eukaryota; Metazoa; Chordata; Mammalia; Primates; Hominidae. The transcript has 2 exons.